CCCAUUCUGGUGCCAUAAUCUUUUUUUUUUUGGAUAGAAUUCUGGUCCCAUAUCUUGUCAUGAGCUAGAAGCAUAUCUUUCCAUUCUUUAUCCAAUUUUUUAGCAUGGUCUGUUGGCCGCCAGUGGGAUUUUACCUUUUAAUAUACUAGUCUAACAUGUAUGUAUAUGAUAAUAUGAAGAAGCACCCAGAGUAUUUUAAUAACAAUAGUACCCGUAAGGGGUAGACUCCAUUUAAUAAUAAUAGUUUUUGUAAUAUUUGAUUCUACAAAAAAAUGAAUUUUAUACUACAUAUAUAAAUUCCAGAAUGUAAAUAGCUAUGUAACAUGUAUGGUUAUGCUUGUUCCUUCAUUCUGCAGUUCCGUUUUUGCUUGUUCCUUCAUUCUGCAUUCUUCAUUCUCUUCUGUCUAUUCCCCCUGUCCACUAUCACAGAUUCAUAGGUCAGGAUGUCGUCCAUUUUGCUAAAAAUAUCUGGAACAAUACGUUUAAAAUAUCAUUGGGUACCCUUUCCUCAACUCUCUCAAGGAGAAAUUUGUUUAAAAUACGUUUAAUAUUUUUCUGCUGGCGCUUAUUAAUCUCAGUAUGGAAGUUCUGGCAAGUAUAUGUUAGGAAAGCCUGGUUAAAUGAAUGACACAGGUUUCAAAGCAGGUUGUGUGGAAGUUGAAUCCGUUUCUGUAUAUGUUGCUGUCACUGCACUACUAUUAAUUGCUCGUUUCUGGUGUUAAAAAGGUUUUCUGGAUGUCAUCAUUCAAGGCAGUGAUUAAACUUAGAAAUUGAUAAAAUUAUUUUAUAGGGAAAGUGAUAUUCAGAAUCUCAUCAUAUAUUCAUAUCUCACUGUUCUGUGGGAACAUGUCCAUGUGUUUUUCAACUUUUUGGUUACAUACUUUGUAUAGCUAGAGCAUCUCUAUAUGCUUGUAUUCCUUUCAAAUAUGCUUCCUGGUUUGAAGAAUGUAGAUACGGCAUCCUUUCACAUGUUACAGUUUUUACUCUGUCUGCACUUUGGAGAUUACAAAUGGAUAAUAUCAAUGGAGCUCCAUCACAUAAUUUUGUAACAUAUUUUGUGUGGAUAAGUGGUUUAAAGAGAUACAUGGGUGACCUUGGAGUUCUUGGAACUGGAAUACCAAUAGGAAAACUUGAUAUGUAUGUUGCUGCAGCUGGUAUUAAUUCAGAGUCAUUGGGAGAUCAAGUGGAAUACCAAGCAACGCAGCAAGUUAUAUUAUCUUUCAUCAUGUAAAACUUAGCUAGGAAACUUGAAAAUUGAAAUGUAUGAAUGCAAUAACAAUGUUCCUUAAAUUCAGUAUUUGAUAAAUUGAUGUA
Long non-coding RNA from Rosa rugosa (rugosa rose), 1314 nucleotides. RefSeq lists it as uncharacterized. The record is from RefSeq and is a predicted model, not a curated record. The transcript is spliced from 2 exons. NCBI's taxonomy places the organism in Eukaryota, Viridiplantae, Streptophyta, Magnoliopsida, Rosales, Rosaceae.